UUUUUUUACAAUAAAAUUUUCCUUUUUUUUUUACAACAUAAUAAAAUUCUAUUUGAUACAUGCAAAAAUUAGAAAAUAUGGAUAAAAUUUUUAAGUUUGUUAAUGUUAUGAUAAUCAUUUUUUCCCUAUUUCUUGCUUCAACACGAAUUUCCCAUGGUAAACCGUUUUUAAAUCUCCCUUUCAAAUUUCCUUCUUUUCUUCUUAUACAAUAUUUUAUUCCAUUUUAAUAACAUUGUUUUUUCUCUUUUUACAUUACAGCUGACAUUCCCAUUCCAUGUAAAACUGAUCGUGAUUGUCCGGUACCUACCAUCUCCCAAUUCCGCCGUCCUAAAAGAAUGAGAUGCCGUAAAGGUUAUUGUAUAGGAUAAUAACUAUAAAGAUCGAAAGAUUAUAUGAUUGUCAGGUCCAAAAAAAAUAUACAAACGCACUACAAGAAUACUCCAUGAGUUCUCAUUUUAUGGGCCCAUAAAAUGAAUUUUCUUUUAACUUUUCUAAUUUCACGUAGCUUAUUAGUUUUGUAUUUUAAGAUGACGCAAAUGAAAUAAAGCAUGAAAAAUAUUAUCAACAAUUUCUUCUUCUAUACAUAUCUUAAUUUUAAGAUAUCAUCACGGUC
This 613-nucleotide long non-coding RNA is filed under the name Trifolium pratense (red clover). RNAcentral's name for it is "long non-coding RNA (TPRA_LNC006581)". The record is from RNAcentral. Lineage: Eukaryota; Viridiplantae; Streptophyta; Magnoliopsida; Fabales; Fabaceae.